RNAcentral lists this long non-coding RNA (252 nucleotides) under Gossypium barbadense (sea-island cotton). RNAcentral's name for it is "long non-coding RNA (GBAR_LNC015341)". Lineage: Eukaryota; Viridiplantae; Streptophyta; Magnoliopsida; Malvales; Malvaceae. The record is from RNAcentral.
GGUGGGGGGUCCCUUUGUUGUAAUCCAAAGAAAGGGACAAGACUAGACUUUGCCAUUGAGAAAACCACAUCUAGAAGCUCCACCAUAGCUUUUAUAUCGCCAUUUGCCAAAUCCAAAACAACACCUCUAUCUUAGCUUUUGCCACAAUCGUUUCCGAUUUGGAGAAAGACCCAGAGUUUCUUUUUACAUUAAUGUUUCAUAAAUAAAUGAAAUUGUAGAGCUUUCAAGAUAUCAAUUACAACCACUCUCUUU